GAUGAACGCUGGCGGCGUGCCUAAUACAUGCAAGUCGAGCGAACGGACGAGAAGCUUGCUUCUCUGACGUUAGCGGCGGACGGGUGAGUAACACGUGGAUAACCUACCUAUAAGACUGGGAUAACUUCGGGAAACCGUAGCUAAUACCGGAUAAUAUUUUGAACCGCAUGGUUCAAAAGUGAAAGACGGUUUUGCUGUCACUUAUAGAUGGAUCCGCGCUGCAUUAGCUAGUUGGUAAGGUAACGGCUUACCAAGGCAACGAUGCAUAGCCGACCUGAGAGGGUGAUCGGCCACACUGGAACUGAGACACGGUCCAGACUCCUACGGGAGGCAGCAGUAGGGAAUCUUCCGCAAUGGGCGAAAGCCUGACGGAGCAACGCCGCGUGAGUGAUGAAGGUCUUCGGAUCGUAAAACUCUGUUAUUAGGGAAGAACAUAUGUGUAAGUAACUAUGCACAUCUUGACGGUACCUAAUCAGAAAGCCACGGCUAACUACGUG
This 497-nucleotide ribosomal RNA is filed under the name uncultured bacterium. RNAcentral's name for it is "partial 16S ribosomal RNA". It matches the Rfam family "Bacterial small subunit ribosomal RNA", at positions 28 to 507 of the family's 1533-position model. The record is from RNAcentral.